CGAGAGGGCUAAACAAGCUAUUCAUCAGCUCAUGUUAAAUCAGAAAGCAUUGAGAAUGGUAUCAGUGUGGUCUAAGUUAACGGGCCACUACAAUGGUUCAUCUGUUCUUUACUUCUAUCUAAACAAACCUUAGGCAUCCUUAAGUGAUCACCAUUGGUCAAUCCAGGUUGCUAACUGGGGCACAGCCAUCUGAGUCAUGUUUUUAAUUUGAAAUCAUUGGGAAAAGACUGAAAGAAAAUGGGCACAUGGUUAUGUUAAUAGUUGAAGGUACUUCUUUCUGAAAGCAUGCAUACAAAAGACCAGCAGGAUGCUACUCCAGCAUGUGAGUACGUGUAUAUCUCAGAAGAU
Molecule: long non-coding RNA, 348 nt
Organism: Quercus lobata
Lineage: Eukaryota; Viridiplantae; Streptophyta; Magnoliopsida; Fagales; Fagaceae
Exons: 3
Source: RefSeq, a predicted model, not a curated record